CUAGUGGCGGACGGGUGAGUAACACGUUGGAACCUGCCCCAAAGUGAGGAAUAAGCCACCGAAAGGUGGUCUAAUACUUCAUAAUAUCCAUCUCGUAUGGAUUAAAGCUUUAUGCGCUUUGGGAGGGGCCUGCGUAACAUUAGCUUGUUGGUGAGGUAAAAGCUCACCAAGGCUUCGAUGUUUAACUGGUUUGAGAGGAUGACCAGUCACACUGGGACUGAGAUACGGCCCAGACUCCUACGGGAGGCAGCAGUAAGGAAUCUUCCACAAUGGGGCAACCCUGAUGGAGCAAUACCGCGUGCAGGAUGAAGCGUUUCGGCGUGUAAACUGCUUUUAUCACCGAAGAUUAUGACUGUAGGUGAAGAAUAAGGACCGGCUAACUACGUG
RNAcentral lists this ribosomal RNA (387 nucleotides) under uncultured bacterium. RNAcentral describes it as "bacterial SSU rRNA". It matches the Rfam family "Bacterial small subunit ribosomal RNA", at positions 92 to 507 of the family's 1533-position model. The record is from RNAcentral.